GUUUAUGUGUGUUGUGCAGGAAUGCUAUACGCAGUGUGGGAAUAGUGUAUGAGUAGUGUGUGAAUGCUGUGUGUGUGUGAGAUCAGGUCAGGGUGGGUAGUGUAUGAAUACUAUGGCAUUACGCGAAAUUCGCAGGCAGUGUGUGAAUGCUGUAUACAGAGCGUGUAGCAUGAGUAGUGUGUGCAUUGGGCCAGAAAAGUAUGGUGGUGAUCAUGCUUCUACUACACCUCGGUCAACUCCCUUUGGA
Molecule: non-coding RNA, 247 nt
Organism: Pelobates cultripes (western spadefoot toad)
Lineage: Eukaryota; Metazoa; Chordata; Amphibia; Anura; Pelobatidae
Source: the annotation of a GenBank genome assembly